CUGUCUUUAUUUUUUUAUUGCGAAGUUAUUUAAGGGGUGAAAAUACCCCUAACUUUAAACAUUAGACGAGAAGACCCUUAGAGUUAUAAUAAAAAGAAAGAUACUUAUCACCAAAAUUUUUGUUGGGGCAACAUAGUUUCAUUUAUUCAAUUAACUAUUUAAUUUGACUAGCUAGGCCGAGAGUAAUUCUAUGUAAAAGUUAACUACCUAAGGGAUAACAGCAUAAUUUUAUUAUUAAGAUUGUGACCUCGAUGUUGGAUUAG
RNAcentral lists this ribosomal RNA (263 nucleotides) under Formosana formosensis. Its description in RNAcentral is "partial 16S ribosomal RNA". Lineage: Eukaryota; Metazoa; Mollusca; Gastropoda; Stylommatophora; Clausiliidae. The record is from RNAcentral.